UGUCGUCAGCUCGUGUCGUGAGAUGUUGGGUUAACGUCCGUAACGAGCGCAACCCUUGUCCUUAGUUACCAGCACGUUAUGGUGGGCACUCUAAGGAGACUGCCGGUGACAAACCGGAGGAAGGUGGGGAUGACGUCAAGUCAUCAUGGCCCUUACGGCCUGGGCUACACACGUGCUACAAUGGUCGGUACAAAGGGUUGCCAAGCCGCGAGGUGGAGCUAAUCCCAUAAAACCGAUCGUAGUCCGGAUCGCAGUCUGCAACUCGACUGCGUGAAGUCGGAAUCGCUAGUAAUCGUGAAUCAGAAUGUCACGGUGAAUACGUUCCCGGGCCUU
RNAcentral lists this ribosomal RNA (333 nucleotides) under uncultured Pseudomonas sp. RNAcentral describes it as "bacterial SSU rRNA". It matches the Rfam family "Bacterial small subunit ribosomal RNA", at positions 1050 to 1382 of the family's 1533-position model. The record is from RNAcentral. Lineage: Bacteria; Pseudomonadati; Pseudomonadota; Gammaproteobacteria; Pseudomonadales; Pseudomonadaceae.